CGGAGCGUAGCGCAGCCUGGUAGCGCAUCACGCUGGGGGUGUGAGGGUCGUGGGUUCGAAUCCCGCCGCUCCGACCA
Molecule: transfer RNA, 77 nt
Filed under: Alphaproteobacteria bacterium
Lineage: Bacteria; Pseudomonadati; Pseudomonadota; Alphaproteobacteria
Also listed under: 2 other names
Description: tRNA-Pro
Rfam family: tRNA
About the family: Transfer RNA (tRNA) molecules are approximately 80 nucleotides in length. Their secondary structure includes four short double-helical elements and three loops (D, anti-codon, and T loops). Further hydrogen bonds mediate the characteristic L-shaped molecular structure. tRNAs have two regions of fundamental functional importance: the anti-codon, which is responsible for specific mRNA codon recognition, and the 3' end, to which the tRNAs corresponding amino acid is attached (by aminoacyl-tRNA synthetases). tRNAs cope with the degeneracy of the genetic code in two manners: having more than one tRNA (with a specific anti-codon) for a particular amino acid; and 'wobble' base-pairing, i.e. permitting non-standard base-pairing at the 3rd anti-codon position.
Source: RNAcentral